Molecule: long non-coding RNA, 217 nt
Filed under: Elaeis guineensis (African oil palm)
Lineage: Eukaryota; Viridiplantae; Streptophyta; Magnoliopsida; Arecales; Arecaceae
Description: long non-coding RNA (EGUI_LNC022263)
Source: RNAcentral
ACUUUUUGAAAAGUCUUGCAGUGGCCUGUGUACCUGUGAAGGGCUCAGAAAAGUCCUGACAUUCUAGUGGAGACAUCCAUCAAGAUGGGGUGGUUCUUCUAGUCCAGAAUUGAUGCACAGGGUCAGGGUAGCCACCUUGUAUGAUGGGUAUUUAGGAGACUGUAAUGGAAGCCUUAACAUACCCACCUCUGGAAAAAAGGCCUCAUAGCAUUGGCCU